GGACCGGUAGCUCAGCUGGAUAGAGCAUCCGCCUUCUAAGCGGACGGUCGUGGGUUCGAAUCCCACCCGGUUCA
RNAcentral lists this transfer RNA (74 nucleotides) under Pediococcus damnosus. Its description in RNAcentral is "tRNA-Arg". It matches the Rfam family "tRNA". Rfam says of the family: Transfer RNA (tRNA) molecules are approximately 80 nucleotides in length. Their secondary structure includes four short double-helical elements and three loops (D, anti-codon, and T loops). The record is from RNAcentral. RNAcentral also lists the same sequence under 1 other name. Lineage: Bacteria; Bacillati; Bacillota; Bacilli; Lactobacillales; Lactobacillaceae.